ACGAACGCUGGCGGCGUGCUUAACACAUGCAAGUCGAACGGAAAGGCCCUGCUUUUGUGGGGUGCUCGAGUGGCGAACGGGUGAGUAACACGUGAGUAACCUGCCCUUGACUUUGGGAUAACUUCAGGAAACUGGGGCUAAUACCGGAUAGGAGCUCCUGCUGCAUGGUGGGGGUUGGUAAGUUUCGGCGGUUGGGGAUGGACUCGCGGCUUAUCAGCUUGUUGGUGGGGUAGUGGCUUACCAAGGCUUUGACGGGUAGCCGGCCUGAGAGGGUGACCGGCCACAUUGGGACUGAGAUACGGCCCAGACUCCUACGGGAGGCAGCAGUGGGGAAUAUUGCACAAUGGGCGGAAGCCUGAUGCAGCAACGCCGCGUGCGGGAUGACGGCCUUCGGGUUGUAAACCGCUUUCGCCUGUGACGAAGCGUGAGUGACGGUAAUGGGUAAAGAAGCACCGGCUAACUACGUG
This 467-nucleotide ribosomal RNA is filed under the name uncultured bacterium. RNAcentral's name for it is "partial 16S ribosomal RNA". It matches the Rfam family "Bacterial small subunit ribosomal RNA", at positions 29 to 507 of the family's 1533-position model. The record is from RNAcentral.